Molecule: long non-coding RNA, 1181 nt
Organism: Humulus lupulus (European hop)
Lineage: Eukaryota; Viridiplantae; Streptophyta; Magnoliopsida; Rosales; Cannabaceae
Exons: 2
Source: RefSeq, a predicted model, not a curated record
AUUAUUGAAGUGAUAAGGUUUUCAUAAGUCAAAAGGUGAAAUGAUGAGAUGAAAGGUGUCAACUUUUGACAAUAAGGCUAAAUCAUUGAAAAUAAGGAAUUUUCAUCAAACCUUAUCACUUUGCACGACCAUUAUUCUGAAAAACAGAGAGAAAAGAAAACCAAAAACCAUUUCUUGGCUGGUUUGAAGAAAUUCUAAGGAGAUCCAAGUGAAAGCAAAGCCAAAGAAGUAGAUUAAGCUUAGUUCUAGCCUUUUUAUGGUAAGUUCUUGUACUUGGAAGUUAAACUAUGUUUUUGAAUUUUUCUGAGAACUUAUAUAUGGUGUUUUAUCAUUUUUAAGAUAUUUCUUGGGGUUUCCAAGUGGUUUGAGGUUUAGAAAAGCUUGAAGAGAUUGUUUUCGCCGAAAAGUUGCUCGGAUAAGCACAUCAAUACCUAAGACAUCACUUGUUACACGGUGAAAUAUAUUGUGGACAAAAGGUAAGUAAAGUACUCAACUGCAACACAAGAAUUAUGUGUUAUGUGAAAGUAUGCAUUAUAUGAAUAUUUUGUGAGUAAGUGGUAUUAACAUACAGUGACACUUCAUCAUAAAUUUGUAUGCAUGGCAUAAUAGUGAUAUGGUAAAUUAUUAUAUGAUAUAAGACCAUGCAUGAUAUUAUGAUGAUUAAUUAUAUAAUGCCUUUGCAAGUUUUGUGCAACAUAAAAGAAAGUUGUAAUAAGAAGUUUAAGUUCAGUGCCACUGUUUUGAAAAGGCAAAUGAAAGUGUUAAUAAGUGUAAACGGAUGCCUAUAGUAGGCUUAUAGUGGCUGCCCAAUAAUUUGGGCUAGGUUUAGUGAACCAAUUAUAUUGUUUGCCAUAUUUCCGUUUUUAUUCUCCUCCAUAUGAGUUAUUGUUAUAUGUAUUGACACCACAGUGUGUGGCCGCCUUAACUCUUGAGCCUGACGGGGCAACGAUGGAAUAAGGAUUUUAAUGUGCCCUACUGUGGUGAAGGCUAGCCGGAGGAGAACCCAUGGGAUUUUGUAUUAUAUGUGUAACAAGCCCUGCAGGCAUUGACCAAUUCAAACAGUGUGCACAAUAUUAAGGGGCCCAAAAUUUAAAAAAAAAGAAGUUGUAUAUGUCCAUUGAUAUUGGGUAAUCAUUAGCAUUGCAUGCAUUACUUUGCUUACUGAGCUUUAGGCUCACAGU